This 406-nucleotide ribosomal RNA is filed under the name uncultured bacterium. RNAcentral's name for it is "partial 16S ribosomal RNA". It matches the Rfam family "Bacterial small subunit ribosomal RNA", at positions 30 to 526 of the family's 1533-position model. The record is from RNAcentral.
AUUGAACGCUGGCGGCAGGCUUAACACAUGCAAGUCGAGCGAGCGGCGGACGGGUGAGUAAUGUCUGGGAAACUGACUGAGGGAGGGGGAUAACUACUGGAAACGGUAGCUAAUACCGCAUACAAUCAGAUGGGCCCAGAUGGGAUUAGCUAGUAGUUGGGGUAAUGGCUCACCUAGGCGACGAGCCCUCACUGGUCAGAGAGGAUGACCAGCCACACUGGAACUGAGACACGGUCCAGACUCCUACGGGAGGCAGCAGUGGGGAAUAUUGCACAAUGGGCGCAAGCCUGAUGCAGCAAUGCCGCGUGUGUGAAGAAGGCCUUCGGGUUGUAAAGCACUUUCAGCGAGGAGGCGUUACUCGCAGAAGAAGCACCGGCUAACUCCGUGCCAGCAGCCGCGGUAAUAC